RNAcentral lists this transfer RNA (77 nucleotides) under Comamonadaceae bacterium OS-1. RNAcentral's name for it is "tRNA-Arg". It matches the Rfam family "tRNA". Rfam says of the family: Transfer RNA (tRNA) molecules are approximately 80 nucleotides in length. Their secondary structure includes four short double-helical elements and three loops (D, anti-codon, and T loops). Further hydrogen bonds mediate the characteristic L-shaped molecular structure. tRNAs have two regions of fundamental functional importance: the anti-codon, which is responsible for specific mRNA codon recognition, and the 3' end, to which the tRNAs corresponding amino acid is attached (by aminoacyl-tRNA synthetases). tRNAs cope with the degeneracy of the genetic code in two manners: having more than one tRNA (with a specific anti-codon) for a particular amino acid; and 'wobble' base-pairing, i.e. permitting non-standard base-pairing at the 3rd anti-codon position. RNAcentral also lists the same sequence under 1 other name. Lineage: Bacteria; Pseudomonadati; Pseudomonadota; Betaproteobacteria; Burkholderiales; Comamonadaceae. The record is from RNAcentral.
GGGACGUUAGCUCAGUUGGUUAGAGCAGAGGACUCAUAAUCCUUUGGUCGAGUGUUCAAGUCACUCACGUCCUACCA